AUGAAGAAGAGUGACUCGGAGGAGAGACUGGAAGACAGAUACUUGAGGAGAGACUGGAAGACAGACACUCAGACUUGGAGUGAAGACACUCGGCUGUGGAACUGGAUCCCUGGAGGAGCUCGUGCAGGAGACCUCAGACUGUUUUCCUUUUGGAUGGUCACCGUGAAAUUCUCAGGGAUCAUGGAACCAUCAAAGGUGGAUCUGAGAACUUGGAUAAGAAAAAAAUUACAUCUUUAUUUUCACUAACCUCUAGCUGAAAAUUAGUAUUUCUUUUAAUUAUUACUGUUAUUUUUUUUAAAAACCCAUUUUCUGUUUUAGGAUCAAGUUAUUUAAUUCCAAUUACCUAACCCUUACCAUUCUUUUGCCUUGAAACCAAUAAUUAGUUUUAAUAUUAAAACACAGCUAAAAAUCUGAGGUCAAAUCUACACCCAGAACCUCCUGUCUCCAGGUCUGGCCCUCUAUCUUUUGAGUCACCUAGUUGCCCCAUUUCCUUUCAUUAUUAACGAAGGCAACAAAAUACAGCAAUAUGAGCAAUAUUUGUGAUCAUCACCAAUAGAAAUCAUAGAUAUUUUUCUAUCAUAUUACAGUUGUUGCACAUAUGUCAAAAUACUUAUGUUCAUCACUUUAUAUUUACUGUACUUAUUAGACUUAUGACUAGACCACACACACUCAAUAUUCUUGUUGACAGAUGUAUAUUUGUCCUAAGUGACCAUCUAUCAGGCAAUUCUGAGUGUCAUAGUCAUUCAGCUACCAAACAUGGAAGUUUCAUGUUUGUAAAUUGGUGACCAGGACAUCUACUUCAUUUCCUAAUAUUCCUUAUCUAAAAUUAUUCAUUGGUAGACACAUGGAAGGAAGCAAAUAGUCUUCAUUGUUGGUACAAAUUUUGAAAAAUUGAAAAAACUCAAAUGAGAAUUCUAAUUCUUCAUAAAAUAGCCCAUGUGGCUUUUGUGCCAUAAAUAGGUGUGUGGACUAUGAGUUCAGACCAGGCAGGUUCAAACAUGCCUGAUGGUUGAAGUGUGCUAUUUAAAGUAAUUUAUUAUUAUUGGUAACAGAUUGCACAGUGUCAUAGUAUCAUAUUCAGGAUAUAAGUAGAGAGGUUCUUUCUUUUGUUUAUUUUUCUUUUCAGACUUCCUUUUGGUACACUGUCUCUUAUGAAAUAAAGGCACACACUCAAGUUGUUAUACA
This 1185-nucleotide long non-coding RNA is filed under the name Monodelphis domestica (gray short-tailed opossum). Its description in RNAcentral is "lncRNA (ENSMODG00000044332.1)". Lineage: Eukaryota; Metazoa; Chordata; Mammalia; Didelphimorphia; Didelphidae. The record is from RNAcentral.